GCGCCAGUAACUCAGUUGGCAGAGUGCCGGUCUUCCAAGCCGGAUGGGCGGGUUCGAGCCCCGCUUGGCGCUCCA
This 75-nucleotide transfer RNA is filed under the name Flavonifractor plautii. RNAcentral describes it as "tRNA-Gly". It matches the Rfam family "tRNA". From Rfam's summary of the family: Transfer RNA (tRNA) molecules are approximately 80 nucleotides in length. Their secondary structure includes four short double-helical elements and three loops (D, anti-codon, and T loops). Lineage: Bacteria; Bacillati; Bacillota; Clostridia; Eubacteriales; Oscillospiraceae. The record is from RNAcentral.